GAUGAACGCUAGCGGCAGGCUUAACACAUGCAAGUCGUGGGGCAGCGCGGACUUCGGUCUGGCGGCGACCGGCAAACGGGUGCGGAACACGUACGCAACCUCCCUCAGAGCGGGGAAUAGCCUCUCGAAAGAGAGAUUAAUACCCCAUAGUAUCUUGAAAGACACAUGUCUAUGAGAUUAAAGCUUCGGCACUUUGAGAUGGGCGUGCGGCUGAUUAGGUAGUUGGUAGGGUAACGGCCUACCAAGCCGACGAUCAGUAGCUGAUGUGAGAGCAUGAUCAGCCACACGGGCACUGAGACACGGGCCCGACUCCUACGGGAGGCAGCAGUGAGGAAUAUUGGUCAAUGGAGGAAACUCUGAACCAGCCAUGCCGCGUGGAGGAUGAAGGUCCUCUGGAUUGUAAACUCCUUUUAUAAAAGAAGAAACCCCAUUUUUCUAAAUGGGUUGACGGUACUUUAUGAAUAAGCACCGGCUAACUCCGUG
Molecule: ribosomal RNA, 483 nt
Filed under: uncultured bacterium
Lineage: Bacteria
Description: bacterial SSU rRNA
Rfam family: Bacterial small subunit ribosomal RNA
Source: RNAcentral